RNAcentral lists this ribosomal RNA (402 nucleotides) under bacterium. Its description in RNAcentral is "partial 16S ribosomal RNA". It matches the Rfam family "Bacterial small subunit ribosomal RNA", at positions 355 to 776 of the family's 1533-position model. The record is from RNAcentral.
UGGGGAAUUUUGCACAAGGGGGGAAACCCUGAUGCACCGACGCCGCGUGAUUUAGAAGGCCUUCGGGUUGUAAAACUCUUUUCUAUGGGAAGAAAAUGACAGUACCAUAGGAAUAAGGACCAGCUAAUUACGUGCCAGCAGCCGCGGUACUACGUAAGGUCCGAGCGUUGUCCUGAAUCAUUGGGCGUAAAGGGUACGUAGGCGGGUAAGCAAGUUAGAAGUGAAAUCCUAUAGCUCAACUAUAGUAAGCUUUUAAAACUGCUCAUAUUUGGGUAUGGAAGGGAAAGUGGAAUUCCUAGUGUAGCGGUGGAAUGCGCAGAUAUUAGGAGGAAGACCGGUGGCGAAGGCGACUUUCUGGCCAUAACCUGACGCUGAGGUACGAAAGCGUGGGUAGCAAACAGG